AUUGAACGCUGGCGGCAGGCUUAACACAUGCAAGUCGAGCGGAGUGAUGGUGCUUGCACUAUCACUUAGCGGCGGACGGGUGAGUAAUGCUUAGGAAUCUGCCUAUUAGUGGGGGACAACAUCUCGGAAGGGAUGCUAAUACCGCAUACGUACUACGGGAGAAAGCAGGGGAUCACUUGUGACCUUGCGCUAAUAAAUGAGCCUAAGUCGGAUUAGCUAGUUGGUGGGGUAAAGCUCUACCUAGGGGAAGAUCUGUAGCGGGUCUCAGCGGAUGAUCCGCCACACUGGGACUGAGACACGGCCCAGACUCCUACGGGAGGCAGCAGUGGGGAAUAUUGGACAAUGGGGGGAACCCUGAUCCAGCCAUGCCGCGUGUGUGAAGAAGGCCUUAUGGUUGUAAAGCACUUUAAGCGAGGAGGAGGCUCUUUUGGUUAAUACCCAAGAUGAGUGGACGUUACUCGCAGAAUAAGCACCGGCUAACUCUGUGCCAGCCGCCGCGGUAA
This 503-nucleotide ribosomal RNA is filed under the name uncultured bacterium. Its description in RNAcentral is "partial 16S ribosomal RNA". It matches the Rfam family "Bacterial small subunit ribosomal RNA", at positions 30 to 523 of the family's 1533-position model. The record is from RNAcentral.